This 492-nucleotide ribosomal RNA is filed under the name uncultured bacterium. Its description in RNAcentral is "partial 16S ribosomal RNA". It matches the Rfam family "Bacterial small subunit ribosomal RNA", at positions 29 to 507 of the family's 1533-position model. The record is from RNAcentral.
AGUGAACGCUGGCGGUAGGCCUAACACAUGCAAGUCGAACGGCAGCACAGUAAGAGCUUGCUCUUACGGGUGGCGAGUGGCGGACGGGUGAGGAAUACAUCGGAAUCUACUUUUUCGUGGGGGAUAACGUAGGGAAACUUACGCUAAUACCGCAUACGACCUACGGGUGAAAGCAGGGGAUCUUCGGACCUUGCGCGAUUGAAUGAGCCGAUGUCGGAUUAGCUAGUUGGCGGGGUAAAGGCCCACCAAGGCGACGAUCCGUAGCUGGUCUGAGAGGAUGAUCAGCCACACUGGAACUGAGACAAGGUCCAGACUCCUACGGGAGGCAGCAGUGGGGAAUAUUGGACAAAGGGCGCAAGCCUGAUCCAGCCAUACCGCGUGGGUGAAGAAGGCCUUCGGGUUGUAAAGCCCUUUUGUUGGGAAAGAAAAGCAGCAGGUUAAUACCCCGCUGUUCUGACGGUACCCAAAGAAUAAGCACCGGCUAACUUCGUG